This 503-nucleotide ribosomal RNA is filed under the name uncultured bacterium. RNAcentral describes it as "partial 16S ribosomal RNA". It matches the Rfam family "Bacterial small subunit ribosomal RNA", at positions 28 to 523 of the family's 1533-position model. The record is from RNAcentral.
GAUGAACGCUAGCGGCAGGCCUAACACAUGCAAGUCGAGGGGUAGCAGGAUUAAGCUUGCUUAAUUGCUGACGACCGGCGCACGGGUGCGUAACGCGUAUGCAACCUACCUUAUACUGGGGUAUAGCCCGGAGAAAUUCGGAUUAAUCUCCCAUAUUACUAAUGAAUCGCAUGGUUUAUUAGUUAAAGCAUUGCGGUAUAAGAUGGGCAUGCGUCCUAUUAGCUAGAUGGUUAGGUAACGGCUCACCAUGGCUACGAUAGGUAGGGGGCCUGAGAGGGUGGUCCCCCACACUGGUACUGAGACACGGACCAGACUCCUACGGGAGGCAGCAGUGAGGAAUAUUGGUCAAUGGGCGCAAGCCUGAACCAGCCAUGCCGCGUGCAGGAAGAAUGCCCUAUGGGUUGUAAACUGCUUUUAUUUGGGAAUAAACCUCUUUACGUGUAGAGAGCUGAAGGUACCAAAUGAAUAAGCACCGGCUAACUCCGUGCCAGCAGCCGCCGUAA